Esox lucius (northern pike) is the source of this 543-nucleotide long non-coding RNA. NCBI's taxonomy places the organism in Eukaryota, Metazoa, Chordata, Actinopteri, Esociformes, Esocidae. The record is from Ensembl.
ACAACAAGUUUGCCAGAACUUGUUCACCACCUGAAGACACCUGAGAGGCUGUCCCUUAUAAGCUCAUCAAGCAUGCAGACACGUGAUAGGCCGGACAGAUAUCGCCAGAGGAAUGAAAAUAGUUCCAGCGUGGGCCCCUACCACCCCAAGGACGUAUAUCUACACCACAACAACCUGUGGAUUGCAGCCUUGGAGGAUGGAACAAGCACAGUACUCCAAGGCACCAGACAGGUACUCCACGCCACCAUGUAGAGGAUUGCUACAUAGGUAAGUGUGGGUUCAUUCAAUUAACCCAGAUGCUUAACUUGUUAUUAAAGCAUGUUGCUUCCAAUUUCAUUUGUCAAUUUCUAUUUAUUUUAAAGGGCAAGAAGGCAGAGGUAUGGGGAUGUUUUAGCUCUGUACAUGAAGAUAAGAAUGUACAUUUUGGCCUACACUGCGAUUUGAGUUCUGAUUGUAAAAUAACCAGAUAUUUAGAUAUAAUUUCAGAACAUUUGGAGAAGAUCAAGCAGCUGACUGGUUGAGGGCAAAGCUGGCUCUACAAUC